RNAcentral lists this ribosomal RNA (454 nucleotides) under uncultured bacterium. RNAcentral's name for it is "bacterial SSU rRNA". It matches the Rfam family "Bacterial small subunit ribosomal RNA", at positions 329 to 793 of the family's 1533-position model. The record is from RNAcentral.
UACCAGACUCCUACGGGAGGCAGCAGUGGGGAAUCUUGCGCAAUGGGCGGAAGCCUGACGCAGCGACGCCGCGUGCGGGACGAAGGCCUUCGGGUCGUAAACCGCUUUCAGCAGGGACGAGGCCCUCACGGUGACGGUACCUGCAGAAGAAGCCCCGGCUAACUCCGUGCCAGCAGCCGCGGUAAUACGGAGGAUGCGAGCGUUAUCCGGAUUUAUUGGGUUUAAAGGGUGCGUAGGCGGAAGGUUAAGUCAGCGGUAAAAUGUCGGUGCUCAACACCGGCCUGCCGUUGAAACUGGUCUUCUUGAGUGAGCGAGAAGUAUGCGGAAUGCGUGGUGUAGCGGUGAAAUGCAUAGAUAUCACGCAGAACUCCGAUUGCGAAGGCAGCAUACCGGCGCUCAACUGACGCUGAGGCACGAAAGCGUGGGGAUCGAACAGGAUUAGAUACCCGGGUAU